RNAcentral lists this ribosomal RNA (243 nucleotides) under uncultured bacterium. RNAcentral describes it as "partial 16S ribosomal RNA". It matches the Rfam family "Bacterial small subunit ribosomal RNA", at positions 529 to 771 of the family's 1533-position model. The record is from RNAcentral.
AGGGUGCGAGCGUUGUCCGGAUUUAUUGGGCGUAAAGAGCUUGUAGGCGGUUUGUCACGUCGGGAGUGAAAACUCGGGGCUUAACCCCGAGCCUGCUUCCGAUACGGGCUGACUUGAGGAAGGUAGGGGAGAAUGGAAUUCCUGGUGAAGCGGUGGAAUGCGUAGAUAUCAGGAGGAACACCAGUGGCGAAGGCGGUUCUCUGGACCUUUCCUGACGCUGAGAAGCGAAAGCGUGGGGAGCAA